Molecule: long non-coding RNA, 770 nt
Organism: Brassica napus (rape)
Lineage: Eukaryota; Viridiplantae; Streptophyta; Magnoliopsida; Brassicales; Brassicaceae
Exons: 2
Source: RefSeq, a predicted model, not a curated record
GCAUCUUAGAGCAUGAUUAUCCAAGAAUUUUAAGAGAGUUUCUAAAGAAAAUCACUGAUUUAAUUAAAUCAAAAGUCAUAAUAAUUUGAGUAACCAAUCCUUAAUGUGAGAUUUUGGAAACUACUUUAAAGAAGGGUUUUUAAAACACGUGUCAGCAUAUCAUAUCAUGAAGUUUAAUUUUUUUUUUCUUUCUUAUUUUUUCUUUUCUCUUUUUCUUUUACUCAGUUUCUCUCGUUCUCCGCCUUCUUUGUCGGUGUCUCCUUCUCCUCUCAGAUUAUCCGGUGGACGACGAUGAGUUUAUGUUAAUCAGAAGCAUGAAGCCCUCUGGUUCGCGAGACCUCUAUUCCGCCAUUGAAAAGGCUCUUAAAGAUUCACCAAUCGCCGGAUUAUUCCCUCCUCUUCCCCCAAUGGUUUCCACUUAUAGUUGCUCUUGUAGCCUCAGGUCAUGAAAGGUUUGUUGCAAGUGUGAAGCAAGUGUCAUUGUCAUCACUCACCUCGUGAAGCAAGUGUGAAGCAAGUGUCAUUGUACAAGUUUUGUAUGCAUGUGCGUAAGCAGUCACGGAGUUGUAUUACAAAAGUCAUGAAUAGAGCGUUUGUAUGCUAGUGUAUUAUCAGUGUAAAACUUUUGUAUGCUAGUCAGUCAGUCAUGAAUAGAUUGUUUGUAUGCUAGUGUCUUCUAUUAUCAGUCAGUAAGUCACAAGCUUUUGUCCAAUUCACGGACUGUUCUUUCCUUGUAUUCAAGUCAUGAAGACCAUAAAAGGCUUCUAUUA